RNAcentral lists this ribosomal RNA (465 nucleotides) under Vreelandella stevensii. RNAcentral's name for it is "partial 16S ribosomal RNA". It matches the Rfam family "Bacterial small subunit ribosomal RNA", at positions 338 to 795 of the family's 1533-position model. Lineage: Bacteria; Pseudomonadati; Pseudomonadota; Gammaproteobacteria; Oceanospirillales; Halomonadaceae. The record is from RNAcentral.
CCUACGGGUGGCAGCAGUGGGGAAUAUUGGACAAUGGGCGAAAGCCUGAUCCAGCCAUGCCGCGUGUGUGAAGAAGGCCUUCGGGUUGUAAAGCACUUUCAGUGGGGAAGAAAGCCUUGGGGCUAAUACCCUCGAGGAAGGACAUCACCCACAGAAGAAGCACCGGCUAACUCCGUGCCAGCAGUCGCGGUAAUACGGAGGGUGCGAGCGUUAAUCGGAAUUACUGGGCGUAAAGCGCGCGUAGGCGGUCUGAUAAGCCGGUUGUGAAAGCCCCGGGCUCAACCUGGGAACGGCAUCCGGAACUGUCAGGCUAGAGUGCAGGAGAGGAAGGUAGAAUUCCCGGUGUAGCGGUGAAAUGCGUAGAGAUCGGGAGGAAUACCAGUGGCGAAGGCGGCCUUCUGGACUGACACUGACGCUGAGGUGCGAAAGCGUGGGUAGCAAACAGGAUUAGAUACCCUAGUAGUC